ACGAACGCUGGCGGCGUGCCUAAUACAUGCCAGUAGAACGCACAGUUUAUACCGUAGCUUGCUACACCCUAGACUGUGAGUUGCGAACGGGUGAGUAACGCGUAGGUAACCUGCCUGGUAGCGGGGGAUAACUAUUGGAAACGAUAGCUAAUACCGCAUAAUAUUAAUUAUUGCAUGAUAAUUAAUUGAAAGGUGCAAUUGCACCACUACCAGAUGGACCUGCGUUGUAUUAGCUAGUAGGUGAGGUAACGGCUCACCUAGGCGACGAUACAUAGCCGACCUGAGAGGGUGAUCGGCCACACUGGGACUGAGACACGGCCCAGACUCCUACGGGAGGCAGCAGUAGGGAAUCUUCGGCAAUGGACGAAAGUCUGACCGAGCAACGCCGCGUGAGUGAAGAAGGUUUUCGGAUCGUAAAGCUCUGUUGUAAGAGAAGAACGGGUGUGAGAGUGGAAAGUUCACACUGUGACGGUAUCUUACCAGAAAGGGACGGCUAACUACGUG
This 504-nucleotide ribosomal RNA is filed under the name uncultured bacterium. RNAcentral's name for it is "partial 16S ribosomal RNA". It matches the Rfam family "Bacterial small subunit ribosomal RNA", at positions 29 to 507 of the family's 1533-position model. The record is from RNAcentral.